RNAcentral lists this ribosomal RNA (492 nucleotides) under uncultured bacterium. RNAcentral's name for it is "partial 16S ribosomal RNA". It matches the Rfam family "Bacterial small subunit ribosomal RNA", at positions 29 to 507 of the family's 1533-position model. The record is from RNAcentral.
AGUGAACGCUGGCGGUAGGCCUAACACAUGCAAGUCGAACGGCAGCACAGUAAGAGCUUGCUCUUACGGGUGGCGAGUGGCGGACGGGUGAGGAAUACAUCGGAAUCUACUUUUUCGUGGGGGAUAACGUAGGGAAACUUACGCUAAUACCGCAUACGACCUACGGGUGAAAGCAGGGGAUCUUCGGACCUUGCGCGAUUGAAUGAGCCGAUGUCGGAUUAGCUAGUUGGCGGGGUAAAGGCCCACCAAGGCGACGAUCCGUAGCUGGUCUGAGAGGAUGAUCCGCCCCACUGGAACUUGAACAACGUCCAGACUCCUACGGGAGGCCGCAGUGGGGAAUUAUGGACAAUGGGCGCAAGCCUGAUCCAGCCAUACCGCGUUGGUUAAGAAGGCCUUCGGGUUGUAAAGCCCUUUUGUUGGGAAAGAAAAGCAGCAGGUUAAUACCCCGCUGUUCUGACGGUACCCAAAGAAUAAGCACCGGCUAACUUCGUG